UUACGGCAGCGUAGCGUCUCGUUCGAUUCCACGUACUCGAAUGGUAAAUUCAUGAACUGGUAAUGGACUUCGUUGCGUAACGGACAAAUUUUGUACAAGUAUCGUAAUUUAUACCGCUUUUCUUGGAUUUUUUUCGCAAUGGUUGUGAUGACAAAUCUUCCCGAAGAAGUGACAGAAAUUAUUCUGUGUUCUAACAAUAUCAGCAUCAAGACUUCGUAAAUUUUUCCUCCACCUGCAAGCAUUUUCAUCAGAUGAUCAAAAACAAGGACGGAAAUUUGAUCAGAGAUUCAAGUGAUGCAAGACGAUCAAAGCACGAGAGGUGGAGUAUUCACUACGAAUCGGAGAGGCCUAGUACCACCCCUGGUGACGACAAAUUUUGUAACUCAAGAUCAAGGAAACGCCUCUCCUAGAUACAUCAGAUCUACCAUGUAUACUGUCCCUAUUACCGCUGAUAUCAUAAAGCAGGCACCUGUCGUUAACAUAUGUUGAUGAUUCUGUCUGAUUACAUACAUCUUUUCACAACACAGCAUUCGCAUUUUUCAUAGACCAAUGUUCCGUUCGGACUUGUGAUUAGUCCAACGGCUCGUACUGUACCGAGAGGAUGCGAACCACCGAUUGUAGAUAUUAGUGAAAUCGGACUAGUACAUUGGUUACGUUGUAAAGCAUACAUGUGUCUAUUUAUGCAAUUUGUCGAUGCUAGCUGAAGAUUCCAAUGUAUGUUUUGUAAAGCAACGACGGAAGUUCCAAAUGAGUACUUUCAACAUUUGGAUCAUAGAAAUCACGUUUAAAUCGUUAUGAAGACUGGAACUGAUGUUGGGGUACAUUUGGACACAUAGAAGGAUUAUUACAGGGUAAUUAUCGUGUCUUUUGAUUCUAAAAUUAGUACACGGAUCAAAGAACCAGCGGUGUGCGAAAUACGAAGUCUGUAAGGAAAUAGAAGAUACCAUUAAUCAAACUUCCGUCGCGAAAAUGUGUCGUUUUUGAUCAUCUGAUGAAAAUGCUUGCACGUGGAGGAAAAGUUUACGAAAUCUUGGGUGCUGAUAUUGUUAGAACACAGAAUAAUCUCUAUCACUUCUUCGGGAAGAUUUGUUAUCACAGCCAUUGCGAAGAAAAUCCAAGAGGAGCGGUAUAAAUCUAUUCCGAUAUAUGUACAAAAUUUGUUGUAUAUUGUCAGUUAUACAACGAACUCCAUUAGUUGAUAAAUCUACUAUUCAUUUACGUGGAAUCGAGUCAAGUAUAUGAAAUGGAGAAACUGCAAUACGACACUCUUUCCGCACAUGUGUAUUGGAUAAACAUUCCCUGUAACCAGUGUCAAAAUAAAAAACUCAGUAUAAAAUUUGUAAACCGAAUUUGUAAACGUGUCUUUUAGUAAAUACAGUUUACUCGUUUCACCAAAGAUUUGGUUGUUGUCUAUUCGAUUAUUCUUGUGUAUUACAAAAUAAAUAAAUUGUAUCAAUCU
Long non-coding RNA from Ooceraea biroi (clonal raider ant), 1459 nucleotides. RefSeq lists it as uncharacterized. NCBI's taxonomy places the organism in Eukaryota, Metazoa, Arthropoda, Insecta, Hymenoptera, Formicidae. The record is from RefSeq and is a predicted model, not a curated record.